AGCUCCAUAGCUUGGGGGUUAGAGUGCUGGUCUUAUAACCAGGGGUCACAAGUUCAAAUCUUGCUGGGGCCU
This 72-nucleotide transfer RNA is filed under the name Ovis aries (sheep). It matches the Rfam family "tRNA". Rfam says of the family: Transfer RNA (tRNA) molecules are approximately 80 nucleotides in length. Their secondary structure includes four short double-helical elements and three loops (D, anti-codon, and T loops). Lineage: Eukaryota; Metazoa; Chordata; Mammalia; Artiodactyla; Bovidae. The record is from Rfam by way of RNAcentral.